GAUGAACGCUGGCGGCGUGCCUAAUACAUGCAAGUCGAGCGAACGGACGAGAAGCUUGCUUCUCUGAUGUUAGCGGCGGACGGGUGAGUAACACGUGGAUAACCUACCUAUAAGACUGGGAUAACUUCGGGAAACCGGAGCUAAUACCGGAUAAUAUUUUGAACCGCAUGGUUCAAAAGUGAAAGACGGUCUUGCUGUCACUUAUAGAUGGAUCCGCGCUGCAUUAGCUAGUUGGUAAGGUAACGGCUUACCAAGGCAACGAUGCAUAGCCGUCCUGAGAGGGUAAUCGGCCACACUGGAACUGAGACACGGUCCAGACUCCUACGGGAGGCAGCAGUAGGGAAUCUUCCGCAAUGGGCGAAAGCCUGACGGAGCAACGCCGCGUGAGUGAUGAAGGUCUUCGGAUCGUAAAACUCUGUUAUUAGGGAAGAACAUAUGUGUAAGUAACUGUGCACAUCUUGACGGUACCUAAUCAGAAAGCCACGGCUAACUACGUG
This 497-nucleotide ribosomal RNA is filed under the name uncultured bacterium. RNAcentral's name for it is "partial 16S ribosomal RNA". It matches the Rfam family "Bacterial small subunit ribosomal RNA", at positions 28 to 507 of the family's 1533-position model. The record is from RNAcentral.